This is an RNA transcript of Sorghum bicolor (sorghum), 8223 nucleotides long. RefSeq lists it as uncharacterized. Lineage: Eukaryota; Viridiplantae; Streptophyta; Magnoliopsida; Poales; Poaceae. The record is from RefSeq and is a predicted model, not a curated record. The transcript is spliced from 12 exons.
CAUCCCUUCUCCUAUCUUAUUUAUCCUUACUGCAUCAUAUCAGGUUGUUGUAUGUUUUCUAGAACACAUCAUUAAAGCUUGAUUAGUCCACUAAUAGUUUAAUUAUUUAUUUGGUUGUUGAGGUUCAGUCUUUUUCUGCUCUAUCAGAGCUUGUAGGUGUAGUUCUAGAUAGCACAAGGAUUUAGGCAAUUUGUUCGUAAUGGCAAAGUACACUAAUUCUAAAACUCAAAUCAUUCUACAUGACCUGAGCUUGGUCUAUUGACUAGGAACGUAUGAAGCAAACUUGAACCAGGUUUGCUAUAUACAGAAGGAGUUAAGUAAAAUAUUGGUUCUUACUGUGCAGUUCAUUGAGCCAUCGACCAACACUAUCAAAAGUCUGACGCCUGCUAAUAUCCACAGCUCCCCGGUAGUAAGCAGAAGUUACUGCUCGAAAGCGUUUUUGUCCAGCAGUGUCCCAGAUCUGAGCUUUAAUCUCCUUUCCAUCGAUUACCAACUUUUGUGUCUGGAACUCCACUCCUAUAGUGGACUUAGAGUUUGGGUACAACUCAUUCCUUGCAAAUCUUGCUAGCAAGUUUGAUUUACCAACAGAGGAAUCCCCAAGCAGAACAAUUUUGAAGAGAUAAUUCUGGCUUUGUCCAUCAUCUCCAUCAUAGGCCAUUGUGGAACAACUCUAUAGCUACUGCUGCCCUUCUAGGUCUUGACAAAAUCACAACACCUGUCAUGUGUAACAUAUAAAAUUUCUUAGUUAUAUCACAAAACAAACUCUAAAGAACUAGGAAUAUGUCAUAUUCAGUAAUUCAGACCCCUUUGGAAGGAAGGAAUUUCACAGGAAUAAUAUAGAGUUUCAUAGGAAUCAGUUUAUUUUCACAGGAAAAAUGCAGAAUACAGGACAAAUUCGCAUCAGCUUGAGCAAGUUGAAACUUACAGUAUGCCUCCAACAAAAGAAAGCUUGAACAGAAGCACCACAAUCAAUUGGAAGCAAACGAAGCGUUCAUUAGGAAGCGUUCAAAUAUAUUGCUUUAAGAUCACAAUUCAGUGGCCUCCAAUUCAGUGGCCGGACAUCCUAAAUUUCAGCAAUCUAAGUUUCUGUUUUCAUUGUUGCAGUGCAGAUCAUGAGGCUUUGGAGAUGAUCCUAAUGUGAUUUUACUGAAAAACAUAUAUUGAGUUCCUUGUAAUUUAUUUUUUUAUGGGCAUGAUCCUAAUGUGAGUUUACUGAAAAACACUAUAAUAUUCUUUGAGGUAACUGAAAAGCUGGGCAACAUGAAGUUGCUCAACAGCUCAAACUGUAGAUAAGUUAACACAACUUAGAUGAAAGUCCAGCUGCCAUAACCUGAAGGGCAGUUGCACAACUGAUUCUAGAGGUCAAGUACGAAUUAAGACCUCUACCUAUACUAUAAUAUAUUUAGGGGGAAUUAAACACAUUACCUGCAGAGAAUGGAUGAUGAUCUGCAAGGUGCAGCUCCACUGGCAAGUCUUCAUUUCCUCAAUGUAGACAUGUACUAAAUAUUUGGUGCAGUGCAACAAGCUUUGAAAGGUAACUUCAGUUGACGACAACGUGCAGCUGACCUCCAAACAACAACAGCAGUUUCAUUAACAGGAUUCGGCGGAGAGCGAGAAAAGCACAGGAUUCGGCGGCAUUGGCGGCUUCGACUUUCUUGAUCUUGGUUUAGGGGUUGCUGGCCAAAAUCUUGGAAUGCCCAGUGAUGAUAAGUGGAGGCAGCAGGAAAUUCUAGAGCUUGAGGUUUAUCUAAAGAGGAUCGAACUUGUGCGGGAACAGGUUACCGCUGCUUGAGAAGACCUCAGGUCAUCAGAAGGUUGCUUUGGCGAUCUUCUUGCAUAGUCUUUUUGCUAGACCCUGUCUUGUAGAGUACCUUAUUUUCUUAGGAGAGUUGCUCGUUACAAAAUUCUCAUUGUACUUGAUUUAAGUUAAGUGCUUGUAGUUGUCAUAAGAUUAGAGGCUGAAAAGAUUGAUUUGUAGGUCAUAUAGCUCAAGUGGACAGUAAUCCUCAAACAUCUUUAAUUUAGUUAUAGAUGUAGCGACACCCCCCAGGGCUGGCCCUGUAUCCUAUGGUUUGAUCACAAUGGAACCUAUGCAAAAUAAUGAAGGUCGUACACCGUUUGAAGACUUGACAAACACCACCAAUCGAGGUGACAAGACAACAUCAGAUUCACAAGCGCAAGUUGAUGAACGUGUGCAACGUAAAAGGGAUAGAGAAAAAGCACGACAUGCAUUAAUGACUCAAACCGAAAGGGAUGAAAAAAAUAAAAAAGUUAGGGAAAAGUAUCAUCAAAAAAAGACAGAAACUGAAAUAUCUACUGGCUCAAUAGGUCCACCACAAACAAUUUUUAACAACCAAACAUAGAAUAAAUAUUUGUUCUCAUAUAGUUACUUUAUCUUUAAUUAUUAUGUAAAUAGGUGUUGGGGUUGAAUCUAACAAGGAAAACACAGAUGCCAUGAGUCUAAAAAGGGAAAGGGUAAAGACACGAUUUAUGGCGAUGACUCAGGAAGAAAGAAAUGAAAAAAAUAGAAAGCGUCGUGAACGAUAUCAUCAGAAAAAAAAUAGUUGGAUUUCAAACAACCACAGAGAACACUGAUGGCUAUGAAGAUAGUGACUGGCUACAUCGAAACGACUCAUACAAUCCCAUGCAGAUUGAUAAAGAUAACACAUGUACCAUUUUGAUUUUUUUUGUUCAUAUUACUAAUUAUUUUUUCUUGUGUUUUUUAAUGUGGAGGCCAAAGUUAAAAUCAUGUUAUUAUAUAUAUGUAGAUGAAUACUCUGAUACAUGUAUAAAUCAAAGUGGCAUGAUUGACAGGACUGAUGCAUCACUUGAUAUAACCCCAGGUGUUAUAAAUGCAUCCAGUUCCAUCGAUAAUUUAGUCAAGUGUCCAAAAGAGCGUAUGCGUGAGCUACAUAGAGCACGAAGGGCUGCAAUGUCUCCUGAGCAAAAGGCGUUAUUAAAUAAGAGACGACGUGACUUGUACGCACAGAAAAAUGCUGCAAGAAAACUGCAAAUGACUCCACAAGAAAAGAAAGUGAAACGGAAAGAGAGCAAAAAAUACUAUAAUAGGAUGGUGAGGGAAAACCGAGCCAACAAUUUGCAUCCGGACUCAAUUGCCAUGGAGAGCCCUCACUUCAACUCUCAAAUUAUUUUCCCUGUUUCACCUCAAUCGCCUGAAGCAUCUUUAGAUGAUAUGGAAAUACCUGAAUUCGGCGGCACGCCUGUCCACAUUGCACCAACUGUAGUUCAAAAUCCAGAAGUCCAGACCCCGGAAUUGGUUGCGGCACAGACCAUACAUAGACAUCGAGUGACCACUGGCGAGAGAAAUGCCCUUCUGUCCCGUCGCAAUCGGGUUUUUGAAGCAAACAUUGGAAGAAGCGCUAGAGGUUCUGCAGAUGGAAAAUGCAACGAUUCGAACGGACUGACUCAACCGAGUGUUGUUUGCAACGAUGGUGUCACCCAAGAAACUCCAAUUCAAGCAUCUAAUAAUUGUAUAGGCACACAAACACAACCGUCUGUAGCUGACGGUACCUCUUCAAUGCCUCCAUAUAGUGCACAAGAUCAUACAUCAGACUCUAUGGUCGAGGAUGACUAUGACAAAGAUGUCAUAUUUGAGGAGGACGAGGAAGAGGAUGAGGCAUACUUUUUCGCCGGUCAAGAUGAGGAGGAGGGAACCGAUGUCGACACAUAUGAGCAAGAGAAUAGUGAGCCUGAUGUCCCAGAUCCAUAUGACCGGGUCUAUGCUAAUGUCCCGUCAGAGUCGCACAUGUUACCCUUGGUGCCGAACUGCAAGCACUGUAACGCAAAGAAAUUCGAUGGCGAACCCCUCCGGAUUCUGUUGUAGGGGUGGAAAGUUUCAAGUCCUGAGACACCACCAGAGCUCAUGAGGUUGUGGUCAAGCUCGGACGCUGAUGCUAGGCACUUUCGUGCAAACAUCAGAUACUUCAACGGCCACUUCUCUUUCACAUCUUUGUACUGCCAUCUAGAUCGUAUCACCACUAACAUGCGAAUCUGUGGUGUCUACACAUUUCGUGCCCUUGGUCAGAUUUACCAUAACAUACGAUCAUUUGGUAAAGAGGAAGGUGUCGAAAAAAGACACCUCGAACUUUAUUUUUAUGAUGACGAUCCGUCCCUCGAGCAUCGCAUGAGCAAGUGUCGUGAGCAAUGUGCUCAAAAAGACAGAGAAGUUAUACAACAAUUGGUAGGGAUCCUUGAAGGGAAUCCCUACUCUCAGCAACUAAGAAGUAUGGGUCAUGUUGAAAACCUCGAGGAUUACCGAGUUGAGCUGAACCUUGACCAACGCCUUGAUCAAAGAACAUAUAAUGUGCCGUUGACAUCAGAGGUGGCUGCCGUAUGGGUUGAGGGUAGUGAGCGUCACGGCCAAUUUGAGCAUAGUGUUCUCCUCCAAGGGAAGGAUCGGUCUAUACAUGGCAUCCGCUCAUAUAAUGCAUGCUACGACUCACUAUCAUACCCGUUGUUCUUUCCAAAGGGUGAGCUCGGGUGGCACAAUUGCAUUCCAAAAGUGGGUGUAACUAUGGCUCAAAUUGAUCGAGCUCGAGCAACCCGUAAAAGGCGUGCUGAGAAUGGUGACGACGAUGGAGAACCUGUUUCAAAUACAUGUGUCUCAGUGCGCGACUACUAUUGCUACAAGUUUCAGAUGCGGCCAGGGAUAUUUAAUCCAAUACUCUAUGGCCGACGCCUUUUCCAGCAGUUUGCCGUCGACACCUACAUCAAGAUUGAGAGCUCACAUUUAGACUACAUGAGGAACAAUCGGGAUACAUUGAGGGCUGACCUAUACCAAGGCCUCGUGGAUAGCAUGCAUUCGGGUGAAGGGUCUGCUGAGAAUGUUGGACGGCGUACUGUGUUGUCUUCGUCAUUCAUUGGAGGACCACGUGACAUGAGGCGUCGAUACAUGGAUGCAAUGGCUCUGGUUCGAAAGUAUGGUAAACCUGAUAUCUUCCUCACAAUGACAUGCAACCCUAAUUGGGAUGAGAUCAAGAAUGAACUUUACCCAGGCCAGACACCACAGGACCGCCCAGAUCUCGUCACACGGGUCUUCAGAGCAAAGUUGGAUGCAAUGAGAAAAAUGUUGAUGGAGAAAGACAUACUUGGUAAGGUGAAGGCCUACGUAUAUGUAGUAGAGUUCCAAAAGAGGGGAUUGCCGCAUGCACACUUCUUGCUAAUAAUGGAACGAAAGUACAAGCUCACAUGUCCCGAGCAAUAUGACAUGAUCAUUAGUGCAGAGCUACCAAAUAAGAAAAAAUACCCUGAGCUAUACAAAAUGGUCACGAAGCAUAUGAUGCAUGGUCCUUGCGGGACGCUUAAUCCAUCCUGUCCAUGCACGGCAGGCCGUGGGUCAAGCAAGAACCGUUACCCACGGCCAUUCUGUGAGGCAACAUCACAGGGAAAGGAUUCAUAUCCCAUCUAUCGGCGACGCAAUGAUGGGCGCAUGCUAAAAGUUCGAGGCCACUACUUGGACAAUCAAUGGGUUGUGCCUUACAACCCUUGCUUGCUUCGUACCUUCAACUGCCAUAUAAACGUUGAGGCUUGUGGGAGCAUUAAAUCAGUAAAGUAUUUGUUCAAGUACAUAUACAAGGGACAUGAUAGGGCAUCAAUUGUGAUGAGGGAGACCGACAAAGAGGACGGGAAAGGAAACAUUGAUGAGAUCAAACAGUAUAGAGACGCCCGUUGGGUGACGCCUCCAGAAGCACUAUGGAGGAUAUAUGGCUUUGACUUGAGCAAGAACCAUCCGCCAGUUCAGCAGCUGCAACUUCAUCUACCCGAUAUGCACAUGGUGGCAUUUCAUAAACGGGACAAGGUCGAAAAGAUCGUUAAUAGACCAGGUGUAGAAGAGUCAAUGCUGACAGCAUACUUCGAUGCAAACAGGCAUGAUGAGGAAGCUCGCAAAAUCUUAUAUCGAGACUUCCCAGAGUAUUAUACAUGGCAGUUUGAUGGUAAAUUCUGGCAGAAAAGGAAAAACUCUGUUUUCCAAAUUGGUAGAGUCAUCUCGGCCCAUCCUGCCGAGGGUGAACGCUACUUUCUUCGUGUUCUAUUGAACAAUGUUGCUGGUGCUACCUCAUAUGAACACCUCAGGACAGUUGAUGGGGUGCUACUACCUUCGUUUCGUGAAGCUGCAGAAAGGAGGGGUUUAAUCGAAGAGGAUAAUACCCUAGAUGAAUGUCUAACGGAAGCUAUUUUAUUCCAGAUGCCUACCUCUCUACGAAGACUAUUUGCAACAAUAUUGGUAUUUUGCGAACCUCAUGAUGUGAUGGGGUUGUGGAUAAAACACUACGAUGCAAUGUCAGAGGACUAUAGCCGCAAUAAUCCAUCCCCGGAUCUCGUGCAACAAAUGGUUUUGAUAGACAUUAGAAACAUGUUGCAGUCUAUGGGGAAGGACAUAAGGUCAUUUCCUCUUCCAGAUAUUGAUCACUCAUAUGAUGAUGCCAGCCAUAUACCUCGUGAGAUAUUUGAGGAAGCUAGCGUUGAGCAGAAUCCUGAAGAUGUGCUAUUGUGUGACUCACUCAACGCCGAGCAAAAGUUUGCCUACAAUGAGAUAAUGACAGCUGUCUACAGCAGACAAGGCGGGCUAUUCUUUGUGGAUGGACCUGGUGGGACGGGAAAGACAUUUUUGUAUAGGGCACUUCUCGCAAAACUACGUAGCCAGGAUAAGCUUGCCGUUGCCACAGCUACAUCUGGGGUCGCAGCGGCCAUAAUGCCAGGUGGGAGGACGGCCCACUCGCGUUUCAAGAUACCCCUAACUCUUCAAGAGGGUGGUUGCUGUAGCUUCACGAAACAGAGUGGUACUGCCAAGUUGUUGCAGCAAGCAGCUCUCAUAAUUUGGGACGAGGCAUCUAUGACAAAGAGGCAAAAUUUAGAAGCACUAGACAACAGCCUACGUGAUAUAAUGGGUCGGUCACACCUACCCUUUGGUGGGAAGACUGUUGUCCUUGGUGGGGAUUUCAGACAAGUACUCCCUGUUGUGCGGAAAGGAUCUAGGGCUCAAAUAGUUGGUGCUUCUCUACGAAGGUCGUAUCUUUGGGAAUCCAUGCGCCACCUAAAGCUUGUUCGCAACAUGAGGGCUCAGAGUGAUCCGUGGUUUGCAGAUUAUUUGUUGCGCAUUGGUGAUGGAACAGAAGAGGUUAACGGAGAUGGCAAUGUUCGUAUUACAGAUGAGAUCUGUAUCCCGUACUCUGGUGAUGCCGAUAAAGAUCUUCAUAGUUUGAUUGACAGCAUCUUUCCAAAUCUGAAUGCAAACAUGGCAGACAAAGACUACAUCACCACCAGAGCGAUUUUAUCUACACGCAAUGAUUGGGUGGACAUGAUUAAUAUGAAAAUGAUUGAUAUGUUUCAGGGUGGUGAGACGGUGUAUCACAGUUUUGACUCCGCGGUAGAUGAUCCACAUAACUACUAUCCAUCGGAGUUUCUUAAUAGCCUGACCCCCAACGGCCUGCCACCACACGUCUUGAAGCUGAAGGUCGGGUGUCCUGUUAUAUUGCUUAGGAAUAUUGACCCCGCCAAUGGGCUAUGUAAUGGUACAAGGUUGGUGGUGCGGGGGUUCCGAAGAAAUACAAUCGACGCUGAAAUUGUUGUGGGGCAGCAUGCUGGGAAGCGGGUAUUUCUUCCUCGAAUACCGCUAUGCCCGUCUGAUGAUGAGAUGUUCCCUUUCCAGUUUAAGAGGAAGCAGUUUCCUAUCAGGCUAAGCUUUGCCAUGACGGUCAAUAAGUCACGGGGCCAAACUAUCCCGAACGUGGGUGUGUACCUGCCUGCACUGGUCUUCUCUCCCAGUUGUACGUUGCGAUGUCUAGAGCCACAUCAAGAACGAAUAUUAAGAUCCUUGCCCUACCAGCUGAUGCGGAGGCACAAGAGGAGGAGGCAAAAAAUAUGGAGAAGAAAAAUGCUAAAAAAAAUACCAUGGAAAAAAAGCCUAAGAAUGCGUUAAAUAAAAAAGAUAAGGAUAAGAAGACCCCAACAACGGAUGGAACUUUCACAAAAAAUAUUGUAUAUAAGGAGGUCCUAACGCCAUAGAUGAGGUAUUUUCAAUUGGCUUAUCAGACUCUACUGGGAGAUGUUCUAUACAUAUUUAUAUGAUGGCAUAAUUACAUUUUGAGUGUUUUGUUGUAAAUAAAUAAAUUAUAUUUUACUAUUAUUGGUUUACUACACAACAUACUCCGGUUUGGUACGGAAUAGCUAUCUUUUUGUGCUAAAAAUCUACUAACAAUUGUA